UUAGGUGCAGGUGCUGGGUUAACAAAUUCUCCCCUCUCUUUCGAUUUCUUCUUUUCUCGUGUGGCUGGCAUUGGUGGCUCUGAUUGCUGGGUUACUCAGGUUGAUUUAAGAUUUUUUUCACUUCUAAGAGUCACCAUCGAUUUGGCAUGUUCGAAAAAACUUUCAGGACUAGUGGAGCUCUCAGUCAUGUACUGUCCAUUUGGGUUAUUGAUGGGCUGACUUAGUAAUUUACCUUCCUCCCUU
This 243-nucleotide long non-coding RNA is filed under the name Elaeis guineensis (African oil palm). RNAcentral describes it as "long non-coding RNA (EGUI_LNC044484)". Lineage: Eukaryota; Viridiplantae; Streptophyta; Magnoliopsida; Arecales; Arecaceae. The record is from RNAcentral.